RNAcentral lists this small RNA (126 nucleotides) under Marmota monax (woodchuck). The record is from RNAcentral. Lineage: Eukaryota; Metazoa; Chordata; Mammalia; Rodentia; Sciuridae.
GCCAGGCAUGGAGGCGCAUGCCUGUAAUCCCAGUGGCUUGGGAGGCUGAGAUAGGAGGAUCGCUAGUUCAAAGCCAGCUUCAGCAACAGCCAGGCACUAAGCAACUCAGUUGAGACCCUAUUUCUA